UCCGUAGGCGGGCAAUUAAGUCAGAGGUGAAAUCCCACAGCUCAACUGUGGAGCUGCCUUUGAUACUGGUUGUCUUGAGUUAUAGUGAAGUAGAUAGAAUAUGUAGUGUAGCGGUGAAAUGCAUAGAUAUUACAUAGAAUACCGAUUGCGAAGGCAGUCUACUAACUGUAUACUGACGCUAAUGGACGAAAGCGUGGGGAGCGAACAGGAUUAGAUACCCUGGUAGUC
RNAcentral lists this ribosomal RNA (228 nucleotides) under uncultured bacterium. RNAcentral's name for it is "partial 16S ribosomal RNA". It matches the Rfam family "Bacterial small subunit ribosomal RNA", at positions 568 to 795 of the family's 1533-position model. The record is from RNAcentral.